GAUGUACGCUGGCGGCGUGCUUAACACAUGCAAGUCGAACGGUGAAGGCGGAGCUUGCUCUGCUGGAUCAGUGGCGAACGGGUGAGUAACACGUGAGCAAUCUGCCCCUGACUCUGGGAUAAGCGCUGGAAACGGCGUCUAAUACUGGAUACGAGCUGCGAAGGCAUCUUCAGCAGCUGGAAAGAAUUUCGGUCAGGGAUGAGCUCGCGGCCUAUCAGCUUGUUGGUGAGGUAAUGGCUCACCAAGGCGUCGACGGGUAGCCGGCCUGAGAGGGUGACCGGCCACACUGGGACUGAGACACGGCCCAGACUCCUACGGGAGGCAGCAGUGGGGAAUACUGCACAAUGGGCGAAAGCCUGAUGCAGCAACGCCGCGUGAGGGACGACGGCCUUCGGGUUGUAAACCUCUUUUAGCAGGGAAGAAGCGAAAGUGACGGUACCUGCAGAAAAAGCGCCGGCUAACUACGUG
RNAcentral lists this ribosomal RNA (468 nucleotides) under uncultured bacterium. RNAcentral's name for it is "partial 16S ribosomal RNA". It matches the Rfam family "Bacterial small subunit ribosomal RNA", at positions 28 to 507 of the family's 1533-position model. The record is from RNAcentral.